AUUGAACGCUGGCGGCGUGACUUAACACAUGCAAGUCGUGCGGUAACAGGCGUAGCAAUACGUGCUGACGAGCGGCGAACGGGUGCGUAAUACAUGGGAAUCUGCCCUUUAGUGGGGAAUAACCCGGCGAAAGCCGGGCUAAUGCCGCAUAAGAUCUUCGGAUGAAAGCGGGGAUCGUAAGACCUCGCGCUGGUGGAUGAGCCCAUGUCGGAUUAGCUUAGNGGUGAGGUAACGGCUCACCCAAGGCGACGAUCCGUAGCUGGUCUGAGAGGACGGCCAGCCACACUGGGACUGAGACACGGCCCAGACUCCUACGGGAGGCAGCAGU
This 328-nucleotide ribosomal RNA is filed under the name uncultured bacterium. RNAcentral describes it as "bacterial SSU rRNA". It matches the Rfam family "Bacterial small subunit ribosomal RNA", at positions 30 to 355 of the family's 1533-position model. The record is from RNAcentral.